CAUAAUACCGGUCUUCACGUUCCCGAGCUUUCAGUUCUGCGAGGGCGUGUAUUCUUCCAGUCAGUGGGGCUCCCACUAGUUGACAUCUUGUAACAGUAGACUUUAGAAUUCCUUUGUUGAGCAUGUGGGCUGCACUGUGUAUUCUUGCUUCAAAGUUGCGAUAGAAUGUCACUUGUUUCGGAUUUGUUCUAGUAUAAGCCCGGUUGACACUUUCUACUUUUUGAGUGUUUGUAUUGAGUUUUGUUUUAAGAAGUGCAGUUUUGCCGAGUCGAAGUUCUAGGCAUUUUCUUAACAAUUCUUUAUCGCCUUCUUUCAUUUUCAGAACUGAAUCUGCAGGUAAAUAGGCAGGUUUCCAUGCCUUGAUCCGCCUGCCCGAACACACAAAUGAAUGCCUUUGACACAGUGUUGAACAGUUGCCACUCACACAGGCCACGAUGGAAUCGAUGGUGUGUUUCGUUCUCAGCAAUGGUGUAGACCGCUUGAGUUGCAGGCUGGAGGGAUGUGCUCGAGUUCCCACCGAAAAGUCUGUUGUUGUAACGGCAGUCUCCCUCAACACUUAUCUUGUGAUCACUGGAAAUCUUCCAAGGCAUCGGGAACAGCUGGGUGAGGCCGAAGUAACCGCAUAUUGCCAGUCGUCCCCUGUGAAUCGGUGACCACAUAUGAAGAUGCACCUCGACUCGUUGACGGCUUAGCCACUGCAUCAAAGUCUUCCCUGGACAGCCUGGUACAGGCCAAAUCAGACCAACACAGUGACACUCCUCAAAGAGUUAUUUCCCCUUG
This is a long non-coding RNA of Gigantopelta aegis, 780 nucleotides long. RefSeq lists it as uncharacterized. Lineage: Eukaryota; Metazoa; Mollusca; Gastropoda; Neomphalida; Peltospiridae. The record is from RefSeq and is a predicted model, not a curated record. The transcript has 4 exons.